CUUGGUGUUACUGCGAAGGGGGGACGGAGAAGGCUAUGUUGGCCGGGCGACGGUUGUCCCGGUUUAAGCGUGUAGGCUGGUUUUCCAGGCAAAUCCGGAAAAUCAAGGCUGAGGCGUGAUGACGAGGCACUACGGUGCUGAAGCAACAAAUGCCCUGCUUCCAGGAAAAGCCUCUAAGCAUCAGGUAACAUCAAAUCGUACCCCAAACCGACACAGGUGGUCAGGUAGAGAAUACCAAGGCGCUUGAGAGAACUCGGGUGAAGGAACUAGGCAAAAUGGUGCCGUAACUUCGGGAGAAGGCACGCUGAUAUGUAGGUGAGGUCCCUCGCGGAUGGAGCUGAAAUCAGUCGAAGAUACCAGCUGGCUGCAACUGUUUAUUAAAAACACAGCACUGUGCAAACACGAAAGUGGACGUAUACGGUGUGACGCCUGCCCGGUGCCGGAAGGUUAAUUGAUGGGGUUAGCGCAAGCGAAGCUCUUGAUCGAAGCCCCGGUAAACGGCGGCCGUAACUAUAACGGUCCUAAGGUAGCGAAAUUCCUUGUCGGGUAAGUUCCGACCUGCACGAAUGGCGUAAUGAUGGCCAGGCUGUCUCCACCCGAGACUCAGUGAAAUUGAACUCGCUGUGAAGAUGCAGUGUACCCGCGGCAAGACGGAAAGACCCCGUGAACCUUUACUAUAGCUUGACACUGAACAUUGAGCCUUGAUGUGUAGGAUAGGUGGGAGGCUUUGAAGUGUGGACGCCAGUCUGCAUGGAGCCGACCUUGAAAUACCACCCUUUAAUGUUUGAUGUUCUAACGUUGACCCGUAAUCCGGGUUGCGGACAGUGUCUGGUGGGUAGUUUGACUGGGGCGGUCUCCUCCUAAAGAGUAACGGAGGAGCACGAAGGUUGGCUAAUCCUGGUCGGACAUCAGGAGGUUAGUGCAAUGGCAUAAGCCAGCUUGACUGCGAGCGUGACGGCGCGAGCAGGUGCGAAAGCAGGUCAUAGUGAUCCGGUGGUUCUGAGUGGAAGGGCCAUCGCUCAACGGAUAAAAGGUACUCCGGGGAUAACAGGCUGAUACCGCCCAAGAGUUCAUAUCGACGGCGGUGUUUGGCACCUUGAUGUCGGCUCAUCACAUCCUGGGGCUGAAGUAGGUCCCAAGGGUAUGGCUGUUCGCCAUUUAAAGUGGCACGCGAGAUGGGUUUAGAACGUCGUGAGACAGUUCGGUCCCUAUCUGCCGUGGGCGCUGGAGAACUGAGGGGGGCUGCUCCUAGUACGAGAGGACCGGAGUGGACGCAUCACUGGUGUUCGGGUUGUCAUGCCAAUGGCACUGCCCGGUAGCUAAAUGCGGAAGAGAUAAGUGCUGAAAGCAUCUAAGCACGAAACUUGCCCCGAGAUGAGUUCUCCCUGACCCUUUAAGGGUCCUGAAGGAACGUAGAAGACGACGACGUUGAUAGGCCGGGUGUGUAAGCGCAGCGAUGCGUUGAGCUAACCGGUACUAAUGAACCAU
Molecule: ribosomal RNA, 1488 nt
Filed under: metagenome
Description: bacterial LSU rRNA
Rfam family: Bacterial large subunit ribosomal RNA
Source: RNAcentral